Non-coding RNA from Bemisia tabaci, 418 nucleotides. The record is from RefSeq and is a predicted model, not a curated record. Lineage: Eukaryota; Metazoa; Arthropoda; Insecta; Hemiptera; Aleyrodidae.
AGUUGAACAACCUGGAUCAUUCUGAACUUUUGAUAUGAAAUUAUAUUCAUCUCCGGUCCGUGUGUGAAAAACUUGUAAUCGAAUUGCAUUACCAUCAGUUUUAUUUGUGUUCGGUAUUUCAUUUCAGUGAUUUCUUUCAGCGAAUAAUUUUCUCGCGAGUGUAAGUGAUAAAGUGAUUAGUUGAACAACCCUGCCCUCCGCUAGUUUUUGUCUGCCGAAAGUUCGCACUGAACUGAAGGAUACCCUACAUAAGGAUAUUGUGUGAGAUUUUCCAGCUUCACUUCUUGCCUGUUUCAAAACUAUGAGUCGCUGAAGUAAUUAUUUUGUGGUCCCUCCAACAUUCGUCAAGGCGGCGUACGAAAACUGCGAAUUUUCACAUUGCAUCAGAGCUGUUCCUGAAUUUACGGAUCAUCGCUUC